This 406-nucleotide ribosomal RNA is filed under the name uncultured bacterium. RNAcentral's name for it is "partial 16S ribosomal RNA". It matches the Rfam family "Bacterial small subunit ribosomal RNA", at positions 29 to 526 of the family's 1533-position model. The record is from RNAcentral.
AUUGAACGCUGGCGGCAGGCCUAACACAUGCAAGUCGAACGAGUGGCGGACGGGUGAGUAAUGUAUGGGAAACUGCCCGAUAGAGGGGGAUAACUACUGGAAACGGUGGCUAAUACCGCAUACAAUCAGAUGAGACCAGAGGGGAUUAGCAAGUAGGUGGGGUAAAGGCUCACCAAGGCGACGAUCCCUAGCUGGUCUGAGAGGAUGACCAGCCACACGGGUACUGCGACACGGUCCGGACUCCUACGGGAGGCAGCAGUGGGGAAUAUUGCACAAUGGGCGCAAGCCUGAUGCAGCCAUGCCGCGUGUAUGAAGAAGGCCUUCGGGUUGUAAAGUACUUUCAGCGGGGAGGCGUUACCCGCAGAAGAAGCACCGGCUAACUCCGUGCCAGCCGCCGCGGUAAUAC